UACGUAGGGGGCAAGCGUUGUCCGGAUUCAUUGGGCGUAAAGAGCGUGUAGGCGGCCAGGUAGGUCGGUUGUGAAAACUGGAGGCUCAACCUUCAGAGGUCGACCGAAACCAUCGGGCUAGAGUCCGGGAGAGGAGAGUGGAAUUCCUGGUGUAGCGGUGAAAUGCGCAGAUAUCAGGAAGAACACCCGUGGCGAAAGCGGCUCUCUGGAACGGUACUGACGCUGAGACGCGAAAGCGUGGGGAGCGAACAGG
Molecule: ribosomal RNA, 253 nt
Filed under: uncultured bacterium
Lineage: Bacteria
Description: partial 16S ribosomal RNA
Rfam family: Bacterial small subunit ribosomal RNA
Source: RNAcentral